CACGUAGGGGGCGAGCGUUGUCCGGAUUUAUUGGGCGUAAAGAGCUCGUAGGCGGUUCGAUAAGUCGGGUGUGAAAACUCUGGGCUCAACUCAGAGACGCCACCCGAUACUGUUGUGACUUGAGUCCGGUAGGGGAGUAUGGAAUUCCCGGUGUAGCGGUGAAAUGCGCAGAUAUCAGGAGGAACACCGGUGGCGAAGGCGGGUCUCUGGGCAGUAACUGACGCUGAGGAGCGAAAGCGUGGGGAGCGAACAGG
Molecule: ribosomal RNA, 254 nt
Filed under: uncultured bacterium
Lineage: Bacteria
Description: partial 16S ribosomal RNA
Rfam family: Bacterial small subunit ribosomal RNA
Source: RNAcentral